Unclassified non-coding RNA from Piliocolobus tephrosceles (Ugandan red Colobus), 300 nucleotides. It matches the Rfam family "Metazoan signal recognition particle RNA". From Rfam's summary of the family: The signal recognition particle (SRP) is a universally conserved ribonucleoprotein. It is involved in the co-translational targeting of proteins to membranes. The record is from Ensembl. Lineage: Eukaryota; Metazoa; Chordata; Mammalia; Primates; Cercopithecidae.
GCCAGUGGCUAAGUGGCACAUGCCUAUAGUCCAGCUAAUCCAGAGGCUGAGGCAGGAUGAUUGCUUAAGACUAGGAGUUCUGGGCUGUAGUGUGCUAUGCCAAUAGGGUGUCUACACUAAGUUUAGCAUCAGUAGGUGACGUUUGUGAAAGCAGGGGACUGCUAGGUUGUCUAAGGAGGGAUGAACCAGCCCAGGUCAGAAAUGGAGCAGGUCAAAUAUCCCAUGCUUAUCAGUGGUAGGAUAGUGCCUGUGAAUAGCCACUGUGCUCCAGCCUGGGCAACAUAGUGAGGCCCCAUCUCU